This is a microRNA precursor of Oryza sativa Indica Group (long-grained rice), 203 nucleotides long. It matches the Rfam family "MIR812 microRNA precursor family". The record is from Rfam. NCBI's taxonomy places the organism in Eukaryota, Viridiplantae, Streptophyta, Magnoliopsida, Poales, Poaceae.
UUUAAGUGUAACCAUAAGUUUUCGCGUCCAACUUUUACCGUUCGUCUUAUUUAUUUUUUUUAAAAUUAGUAUUUUUGUUGUUAUGAGAUGAUAAAACAUGAAUACUACUUUACUCGUGACUUAUGUUUUUAAUUUUUUUUAAAAAAAUUUCAAAUAAAACAGACGGUUAAAGUUGGGCGUAGAAAAUCAUGGCUGCACUUAAA